UACGAAGGUCCCGAGCGUUGUUCGGAAUCACUGGGCGUAAAGGGAGCGUAGGCGGCGUGGUAAGUCAGAUGUGAAAUCCCGGGGCUCAACCCCGGAACUGCAUCCGAUACUGCCGUGCUAGAGGAUUGGAGAGGUAGCUGGAAUUCUUGGUGUAGCAGUGAAAUGCGUGGAGAUCAAGAGGAACACUCGUGGCGAAAGCGAGCUACUGGACAAUAUCUGACGCUGAGGCUCGAAGGCCAGGGUAGCGAACAGG
RNAcentral lists this ribosomal RNA (253 nucleotides) under uncultured bacterium. RNAcentral describes it as "partial 16S ribosomal RNA". It matches the Rfam family "Bacterial small subunit ribosomal RNA", at positions 524 to 776 of the family's 1533-position model. The record is from RNAcentral.